GAGCAAAAGGGGUUGUAUUUAGUGAACAUAAAUUCAUCGCAUUUAUUUAUUCAGAAAACGUAAAAUUAUUAUUUGUCGCAAUUUUGGAUUCUAUAGAUUCUGAUGGCGGAAUCGUCUAGUGUAGGGAUAUAAGGAGAAUCUGUUGAUUGGAUAUUGCAGAGCCGCGGAUAGCUAAAUUAGGUUCUUCCAAUUGGAGAAGCACUGGUUACUGACAACUUACAUCCUUGGCUAGUCAUUGCUACACUGCGUUCAAAA
Molecule: long non-coding RNA, 255 nt
Organism: Ipomoea triloba (trilobed morning glory)
Lineage: Eukaryota; Viridiplantae; Streptophyta; Magnoliopsida; Solanales; Convolvulaceae
Exons: 3
Source: RefSeq, a predicted model, not a curated record